UACGUAGGGGGCUAGCGUUGUCCGGAAUCAUUGGGCGUAAAGCGCGCGUAGGCGGCCAGAUAAGUCCGGUGUGAAAGUCACAGGCUCAACCUGCGAAUGCCGCUGGAAACUGUCUGGCUAGAGUCCGGAAGGGGCGAGUGGAAUUCCUGGUGUAGCGGUGAAAUGCGCAGAUAUCAGGAGGAACACCAAUGGCGAAGGCAGCUCGCUGGGACGUGACUGACGCUGAGACGCGAAAGCGUGGGGAGUAAACAGG
RNAcentral lists this ribosomal RNA (253 nucleotides) under uncultured bacterium. Its description in RNAcentral is "partial 16S ribosomal RNA". It matches the Rfam family "Bacterial small subunit ribosomal RNA", at positions 524 to 776 of the family's 1533-position model. The record is from RNAcentral.